UGCCUUGCGUUCCGUGAUCUUUCACCCCAAGCUGCGACGCUUUUCCUAGUCAUGCCUAAGGAGCCGAUUAUCAGGUUAUCUGAAGAUUCCAGUGACUCUCUUCCCGGGCAUUUAAUGCUUGUUGGCAAGAAGCGUGCUGCUCGCCUGGGUCUGACCAACGGAUUCCGGAUGGUUGUGGAUGAAGGGCCCGAGGGUGGGCAGUCUGUCUGUCACGUACGUCUACCUAUUCGGGGUGGCCGUGAGUUGGGCUGUCCGCCCGGCUAAGAUUUGUUUGCACCGCAAGAGUCGCUGGACGGGCACGAACCGCCUCUGAAUGGAUUUUUGUCUGUUGCCCGUCAGUCUAGCCACUGUUGAAGUCUAAUUUUGUGUGACGUGUGUCUGUGGAAGGUACUAAAAGCUUUGAGCAGCAGUUGCACAAUAAAGAUUUAGCAUGGGGAUAUCA
Columba livia (rock pigeon) is the source of this 442-nucleotide long non-coding RNA. RefSeq lists it as uncharacterized. Lineage: Eukaryota; Metazoa; Chordata; Aves; Columbiformes; Columbidae. The record is from RefSeq and is a predicted model, not a curated record. The transcript has 2 exons.